This 1458-nucleotide long non-coding RNA is filed under the name Olea europaea subsp. europaea. The record is from RNAcentral. Lineage: Eukaryota; Viridiplantae; Streptophyta; Magnoliopsida; Lamiales; Oleaceae.
CUUGUUAUUAUUCACCCUACAUCAAAAACCUAGAGAAAAAUUCAUAAGCCUCUCAAAAAAUUGAGAUCAGAAUAAUUGUUUUAAAGCCCUGUCUAAGGCACGUGCCUUGAGAUCACAUUGGGCUUUAAACACGAAAUUUAUGCCUUCAACAUUAUUUGUCAAGGCUUAUCCUUUAAUUUACAGAAGCUUUAAACGAACCUCUUGCAACACUUUCCCAAUUGCACAAUUUAAACAUUGAUCAGUCAAUAAUAAAUUACUAUCUCAUAUGGCAUAUUGCCAUUUUUCAAAACUUGAACAAAUAAGACAAAUACAUCUCAUGUUGCUUGUGAAAGUAACAAAAUAAUGAUAUAUUUAAUCCAUCGUUAAGCACCAAUGUAUGUUUAAACCUGGUAAAUCAAGCCACAGCAUUUUAACCCUUUAAGCAAACAGUAUUUGAAACGUUAGAUAUAACUUUCGAAAUCAUUGCACUCGAUUAUAAAGGUACCUAAAUCUGUGAAAGUGAAAAUACUUGAUCAUCGCAACAAUUUCCAUAUUUAGUCAUUGCAAUUUCCAAGGUGAAUCUGCAACUAUAUUAUCACUCUUAAUAGAAAUAAAAUAACUUCAUUUAUGAUACUGGAUAUUCGAAAUGUUCUUCAUGACAUAAAGAAAUCAGCUUUGCAAAAUAAAGAAAUGAUGUAUAAUAUAAAAAAUGCAGUAGCAAGCUUAAGUUUCUUCACUUUAACUCCGAUCCACCAGUCAGCCAGCCAAAUGAGCUUGAGCUACAACAGCUCUGCCACCGCUUUAUUUAUGCUCCUGCAAGCAUUCUUCCACAAUGAUCCUUUUAGCACAAAACAUAGUGCCUGAGAAAUCCCCCAAUACAUUUUGCGAUAUUUGUCCAAAUUCAAAAAUACUUUAUCGGACAAAUAUCAAAAAUACUUCACGCACGAAUAACUUAUAUAAGAACAAGUAACCAGAAAAUCACUCAAAAGAUCAAAUAAAAACUAAAAGUUCGGAAACCCUAAAAAACGUUUAGCAAAUCAGCUAGGGAUAAAGAAAAACCAGUUUAAUCAGCUCAACUAAAUCAAACCCAUUUCAAAAACCUUUAAAAAAAUCGAUUUUUAACCUUGAAAUCCCCCAACUUCAGACUAUGAUUUCUAUGUAUAUGUGAGAAUAGAGAAAGAAAAUUACAAUAAUAUAUUGAUUUUAAUUCAUUGAUAACAUAGGGAGGCAAGAUAUAAUAAAAGAAGAUGAAAACCUAUGACAUAUAAUGAUUUUAAGAUUCAUAAAUAAUAGUUGAUAGAUUCAUGUAAUGUCAGAGUUAUUAGUAAGAUUGAAGAAAGGUGCACCUCCUGGGUACCCAAUUUCAGCCGUCGCAGCAACUUAUGAGGUUUCUGCUCCAUUCUGUCCUAUACAAAAAAAACCCAGCUCAAAAAUUCAAAGAAGAUGGAAGCUUAAGUGAGUACCAUUAAUCUCGUCGAU